CUGGUUUCCCAUCCCCUGCUUCAGAUGUGAAAACAUGUUCCUUGCAGUCGGAAUGUAAACUCAUCAACUCCAUUAAACUUGAGCACUAUAUCCCAUCAUCCAGAUCAUCAAUGAAGAUGUUCACCAGGAAUUGCUGAUCACUGGCCUCCAGCUGGAUGUUGCACUCCUGAUCACCACCCCAGCCAGGAGAUUUCAACCAGCCUGCUGUCUGCUCAUCCAGCCCAUACUUCAUGGGCUUCUCUGUGAGGGAGCCCUGUCUGUGUCCACUAGUACACACAUUCAUUUUGAUUUUAAAAAAUCAAACAGAAGUGGGAGUUUUAACAGCAGAAUUAUUUUUCAAAGGGAAAUAGAAGGAUAUGGCUUUGAUGGAACGAGUGCCUUCAAGCUCCAUUGGCAGGCACUGUUUGAAAGCUAUUUGGGUGAUUUUUGAUAAGAAAUGAAAGAUGCAACAGCAGGAAGCCAUUCAGCAAUCCCUGACAAGGGAGGUCCACUGUCAAUUGCUGGGAGGGCCCCCACCUGUUUCUUUUAAUGGUGCUCCCAAAUCCCACCUCUUGGGCCUCCCAUCCCAUCCUUUUUGGUCCCCUCAGGCAUCUCCUCCCCAGCAUCUGCUCUGUGUCCUACCCAUGGUCCCCAAAUAUCCUCCUGUUGAUCGUUUCCAAACAUCCUCCCACUGAUCAUUCCCAAAGCUUUUCUUUCCAGACCUUUGCCUUUCACCCAGGCCACUGCCCUGGUACCUCCCAAGUCCAUUCCUUGCCUCACUCUCCACUCCCAACCAGCUCCCAGUGCCCUCGUUUUUGUUCUCCUCCAUCAUCCUCCUCCUGUCCCCACCAAGCCUCUCCCUUGCAGUCCCCACAUCCCUACACUUGAAUUCCUUUCCCCUCCCCUGCAUCCCACACAGGGCCCCUUCAACACCCCAAUCCCAGUCCCGUGGGCUCCCCAGUUCCCCCCAGUUCAGCAUCUUUGGGUCCCCCCCAACCUCCCCCCACCCUCCCUGCAGGCCCUGAAUUCCUCUGGCUCUCCUUGUCUCCAUCCCCACCCUGGGCCCUGCAGGCACAGUGGUUGGAGGUGAAACUGGGGGCAGUGGGAGCGGGGGGACAUCCCAGUGGACAUCCCAGUGACCAGCCAGGGCUCCUGGUCUCUCUCCAGCUGCAUUUAGUGGACGUUGGGAUCCUGAAGACAGCUCAGGCUCCCAAUACAUCCCACUGCACCCAGGGUGUCUCUGAGCCUGUCUUUGUCCCCAGCCCCCUGUGGUUGAGAAGGUGGUGGGUCUUGUUGGUGAGAAACGCGUGGCUGCAUCCCUGGAUGGCUGAGGACUGGUGGUGACACCCGUGCCCUGUCUCCCUCCAGCAGCGUGAGGAGAUGAUCAUCCCUGAAAGAACCCCCUGAUUUCCCUCAGAGCCCAGGGGCAUUUCUCCUGAAUGAUCAAUAAAUCCCUUCAGCAAAGCUA
Molecule: long non-coding RNA, 1447 nt
Organism: Pipra filicauda (Wire-tailed manakin)
Lineage: Eukaryota; Metazoa; Chordata; Aves; Passeriformes; Pipridae
Exons: 4
Source: RefSeq, a predicted model, not a curated record